Long non-coding RNA from Eriocheir sinensis (Chinese mitten crab), 3865 nucleotides. RefSeq lists it as uncharacterized. NCBI's taxonomy places the organism in Eukaryota, Metazoa, Arthropoda, Malacostraca, Decapoda, Varunidae. The record is from RefSeq and is a predicted model, not a curated record. The transcript is spliced from 2 exons.
GAAGCCCCCAAGACCGGACAAGAACCACAGCCUCCACGGUGCCUCCUCCUCCUCCUCCUCCUCGUCAUCCCUUUUGUGAGGCGCCAGCACCACGACACCCACAACUACUUCUAUUUUUACAUGAGUAUAACUAUUUUUACCAUAUUUAAGGCGUAAUUCAGGUCACAAAUCCUAAUUGGAAUACUUGUAUGCUUGUCAGUAAUGUGUUUUGUAUGAUUUUUUGUGAGUGUGUGUUUCUGUGAUUUUUUAGCACAACAAAAGACUCCAUAGUGGUGGUGCUGUGAGGGAGUGUGUAGCAGGACCGCACGGCCAGGCUCGCUUGUCUUGCUUGUCGGGUGUGUUCCCUAACUGGUGCACGGGUCAGCCCAAUCAGUACUCAUGGCAGGAAGAAAACCACUCGGGAGAAUUACUAAGAUACAAAAUUAGUGAAUGGAUGUACAGAAUUUGAUGGAAAAAGGAAAUAAUUGAACAGUGAUGUAAAAAACUGAAAGGAGAUAAGAAAUAACUGAAAUAAUAUAAGAAAUUGAAGUAAUGAAGUUAUAUAUAUAAAACAAAAUAGUUAAAAUUAAGUGUGAAUAUCAAACUUUAACUCAACAAAAGCUUCAUUCCAACAUCACAACUUUAAUCUUUCUCCCAAGUAACUCUUCCUCUUAUGACCACUGACGGGAAAUUGAGUGUGUGUACAGUGGCGAACACAUCCCACUGCAGAGACGACCCUUGGCUUAACAUGUACAGAUACUAGUGUGUAGCGGGCACGGCUGCGCUCGCCCAUCACGCAACAGAGGAAGGAGGCGACUGAUUGAUGGCCUGGUGUGCGUGGCCGUUAGUGUGCCCAAAGAGGGAAUCUCCUUCACAUAUUUUUGGUACUUUUAUGAAGGGGAGGGCGGGGCCUUGGGAGGAAUUUUAAGCAGAGGCGUUUUUGUGUGUGUGUGUGUGUGUGUGUGUGUGUGUGUGUGUGUGUGUGUGUGUGUGUGUGUGUGUGUGUGAUUAAGAGUUGUUUUUAGUGUUACGAACUGAUCCACGUGUCAGUAUAAUGCACCAAUCUUGAUCCUAUAGGGUUAAAACUUUUUGCAGUGAUUUAACAUGCACUGAAGAGAUAGUAAAAACUUCACGUAGGAAUGACUUGUAAUGACUUAGAACGCUUUUGGUGAUGCAGAUACUUGAUCCUGUAAGGUUAGGACAUUGAGAAGUGAUCAUCUUUUUAAGGAAGGAUAAUUAUAAUUUGUGAUGAUUUAGAAGACUUUAGAUCAGGUUAUGUCUGGGGGCGUCAGAGCAUCAAGCCUUGGAAAUGAAGAGCCAGGGUGAAGCGGUUUGAGCCCUGGUACUGCCAUGUGAGGUAAAAAAUGGCAUAUGAUCUUAACCCCCAAGUCUAGACCCUCAGGCAGCAACUCCAAAUGAACAUGAGUGCUAGCUGUCAAGGGAAAGAUCAGGUUAACUCUCAAGUCUAGACCCUCAGGCAGCAACUCCAAAUGAACGUGAGUGCUAGCUGUCAAGGGAAAGAUCAGGUUAUGAGUAGUAAUGAGAGGAGUCUUGGUAAUGCCAGGAAGCAGGUUAACAAACACAGAAUUCUCAGAGGAAGCAAUAAUUUGUAAUAGGAAAAGACGGAUAGGUUGUAGCAAAUGGUAAUGGUGCAAGAUUGUACUUUUAUAUGAACAGGAAGGACUUUUGUAUUGGAUGAAACGCAGAAGUAAGCUGUUAGGAGAUGAGCAGAAAUGUACAAAAUGUGAUGCAGGCAGAGGCCAUCCCUACUUAAUGUGUUAGGGUGUGCUUGCCAGUUGUAUUCACCCUUCCCUGUCGGUACUCCUGUCAGGGAAUGAUGACGACUCAGGGAAGUUAACCUGAGGAAUGUAAAUGACUGACUAUGAAAAAGAUUACCUCACAUUAUCAUAUUACUUUGAUUAGAUGAUUUACAUACCAUGGCUUGAACAAUUGUCACGUAUUUCUUUCCAUAUAGGAGUACUUGUAGGGAAGAAUGCGUACAAAUUGGCGAGCUUACUCCAGUCAACUACCUGUUCUUAGAUAAGUCAGGCUGCUAAGGCUGUCAAUUGUCACACUGAGGUAAAUGAUGUCUGUCGCUGUGGCCAAGUUUGUGUGAUAAAACUUAAGUACUUUUAAGUGAAACAAAAGCAAGCCUCAACUCAGUGACCAUGUGUAUAAUGAGGGUUAGGAGAUUGUGCUUAAUGAGUUAAUUAGGAGUUCGCCAGCAAAGAAUUUUCAUUGAUCCAUUCACUAAUAAUUUUUGUCGUUCUGGCCAUAGGUUGUGAUGGCAAAUAUUUAAUGAGUGUAUAAUGAGAGUUAAGAGAUUAUAUUUAAUGAGAUACUAAUGAGUUUGUGUGGCGAGGAAAUCACUUUGUUCUGUUCAGCAAUAAUUCUUGUCAUUCUGGCCAUGUCUUAACUCAUAGGCCAUAAAUGUAUAAUGAGUUAGAUUAUUUUUAUUGAAGUAAGAAUGUGUUGACUACCAUUGGGUCACAUGUGCAGCAAGGAAUCCACUUUGUUCUGUCGAGUAUUCAUUUAUGUCCUUGUGGCUGAAGUAUAUUGUGAUGAAACUCAGAUGUGAUGAGGAAACUUGGCUGUGGUGUCGAGUUUAAAUGAUGACAAGUCAGGACACUGGGCCAUAUUAUGUCAAACCCAAGAAGUUUUGGGUCUCUACAAAGGUCAGUUUAGGGACUGUAUUACAAGUCCAAUCAGAGAAGUUUCAGGUCCCUACAGGGUUAUUCAUCCCAAACCUUGUAGGGACCCGAAACUUCUUGGAUUGGACUUGUAGUACGGCCCCUAAACCGACCUUUCUAGGGACCCAAAACUUCCCGUGUUUGACUUAUAAUACGGCCCACUAACUCAAUUACCUAGCAGAGAAAUAUCGCCACCUUCGUAAACAAACCGCUUAAGUCAGUAUUUUCUACUUUACAGGAAAUCAUAAAAGAACUGUCAUCAUCUCAUUUGGCUUAAGAUUUAGGCAGAAACGAAAAGGCCAAUUCUAUAACACUCAAACCCUGAACGACGGAGGCAACUUAACAAAAAUGGGCGUCACAUGUUGAAAAAUUGAUGUAGACGAAAACCUGGAAAUCGCUGAAAAAUGGCUUGGGCAAUUAUUUUAUGAGGGUGACGAUAUGUUAAUGCAGUCUUGUCAGAGUGGCCUUGAAUGAGAGGAAAGUCACGCCAAGUAAAGUAACGGAUCAUGUCUCUUUACAGCAACUACAUCGCCAAAAAACAUCUCGAACACCCAUGAGUCGAUUGAACAGAGUAAGAGUGAUAUCUAUAAUUCUAUAUGCAUGGUGCUGUGCUGGCUAUGGAUGUCACUCAAAUGCUACGUUAUGUUUGUUAUGGGUGUAAGUUACCUUUUGCCAACUGUACAUGCGUGGAGAAAGUAUUGAGUUUUAUAAAGCCAAAUAAUGAUUGAUGAGAGACUGAGAGAAAAGUUGAAGGCCACGCAACAAAAUGACAGUGUGGUGUGUGGAUAAGAUAAUGAGUCUUAUCAGGUUCAGUUGUGACUUGUCUUGUUACAGUGGUCAUGAAUGGGAUACAGCUGAAAGUCCUGCAAAGUCAAGUAAUGAUCAUGUCUUUUAAUGGUGAUAAAAGUAGGGUACUGUAAGGGAGUUUAGAAGUAAUGAUAAAUGAUUGUCUUGCCACAGUGAUGGUAGGGUAACUUAAGUGCUUCCUUUGGACAAUUUACAUGUAUGUUUAUUUUUGCCGUUCAUUUGUUUGUCCGUCGUGGGUGUGGAGGGAUGAACAAUGAAUCCUAGAGGCCAGUCAGGUGACGAGUGAGUGUGUGAGUGAGUGUGAAAGUACAUACAAUGCUUCCCCUACUUGCCAGUGUGUGUGUGUGUGUGUGUGUGUGUGUGUGUGUGUGUGUGUGUGUGUGUUCAUU